This 253-nucleotide ribosomal RNA is filed under the name uncultured bacterium. RNAcentral's name for it is "partial 16S ribosomal RNA". It matches the Rfam family "Bacterial small subunit ribosomal RNA", at positions 524 to 776 of the family's 1533-position model. The record is from RNAcentral.
UACGGAGGAUCCGAGCGUUAUCCGGAUUUAUUGGGUUUAAAGGGAGCGUAGGUGGAUUGUUAAGUCAGUUGUGAAAGUUUGCGGCUCAACCGUAAAAUUGCAGUUGAAACUGGCAGUCUUGAGUACAGUAGAGGUGGGCGGAAUCCGUGGUGUAGCGGUGAAAUGCGUAGAUAUUAGGAGGAACACCAGUGGCGAAGGCGGCUUACUGGACGACUACUGACGCUGAGGCUCGAAAGCGUGGGGAGCAAACAGG